Molecule: ribosomal RNA, 253 nt
Filed under: uncultured bacterium
Lineage: Bacteria
Description: partial 16S ribosomal RNA
Rfam family: Bacterial small subunit ribosomal RNA
Source: RNAcentral
UACGUAGGGUGCAAGCGUUAAUCGGAAUUACUGGGCGUAAAGCGUGCGUAGACGGUUAUGUAAGUCGGGUGUGAAAGCCCCGGGCUCAACCUGGGAAUUGCAUUCGAGACUGCAUAGCUAGGGUGCGGAAGAGGGAAGCGGAAUUUCCGGUGUAGCGGUGAAAUGCGUAGAUAUUCGGAGGAACACCAGUGGCGAAGGCGGCUCACUGGCUCGGUACUGACGCUGAGGUGCGAAAGCGUGGGGAGCAAACAGG